This 118-nucleotide ribosomal RNA is filed under the name Aquipseudomonas alcaligenes NBRC 14159. The record is from RNAcentral. Lineage: Bacteria; Pseudomonadati; Pseudomonadota; Gammaproteobacteria; Pseudomonadales; Pseudomonadaceae.
UGCUUGACGACCAUAGAGCGUUGGAACCACCUGAUCCCAUCCCGAACUCAGUAGUGAAACGACGCAUCGCCGAUGGUAGUGUGGGGCUUCCCCAUGUGAGAGUAGGUCAUCGUCAAGC